This 458-nucleotide ribosomal RNA is filed under the name uncultured bacterium. Its description in RNAcentral is "bacterial SSU rRNA". It matches the Rfam family "Bacterial small subunit ribosomal RNA", at positions 34 to 507 of the family's 1533-position model. The record is from RNAcentral.
CGCUGGCGGCGUGCCUAACACAUGCAAGUCGAACGGGACUCAGCCCUUCGGGACUGAGUUUAGUGGCGAACGGGUGAGUAACGCGUGAGGAGCCUGCCUUUCAGUGGGGGACAACAGUUGGAAACGACUGCUAAUACCGCAUAAUGCUUUUUGAUGGCAUCAUUGAAAAGCCAAAGAUUUAUUGCUGAAAGAUGGCCUCGCGUCUGAUUAGCUAGUUGGUGAGGUAACGGCCCACCAAGGCGACGAUCAGUAGCCGGACUGAGAGGUUGAACGGCCACAUUGGGACUGAGAUACGGCCCAGACUCCUACGGGAGGCAGCAGUGGGGAAUAUUGGGCAAUGGGCGCAAGCCUGACCCAGCAACGCCGCGUGAAGGAAGAAGGCUUUCGGGUUGUAAACUUCUUUUGUCAGGGACGAGUAGAAGACGGUACCUGACGAAUAAGCCACGGCUAACUACGUG